AGAAAGAGCAGUCAGGCAUUGGGACGGGUUGCCCAGGGAGGUGGUGGAGUCACCGUCCCUGGGGGUGUUGAAGGGAAGGCUGGACGUGGUGCUUAGGGACAUGGUUUAGUGGGUGAUGGUGGUGGUAUGGGGAUGGUUGGGCCAGGUGAUCCUGGAGGGCUUUUCCGACCCUAAUGAUCCUAUGAUUCUCCCUGCAUGAUUUUAAAAGGAAAA
Long non-coding RNA from Cygnus olor (mute swan), 213 nucleotides. RefSeq lists it as uncharacterized. The transcript has 3 exons. The record is from RefSeq and is a predicted model, not a curated record. NCBI's taxonomy places the organism in Eukaryota, Metazoa, Chordata, Aves, Anseriformes, Anatidae.